CAAUAUGUUAUCCCUAGAUUUUUGUUUUUCUUUUCCUCUUUUUUAGGAAGUAAAAAUAUAUAAAAUUUAUCUGAGCUAUAAAUUAUUUUGAUUCGACUAUUUAAUUUUUAAAAAUUUUAAUAUUAAAAGUUGUUUGAUGAUACUUCCGGUACAAAAUUUAACUUAGUUGUUUAAUUCAAUAAAUUUUGUAAUUAUAUGAAUUUUAUAAAACAUGUUAAUUAUGUCUGUACAGAUAAAUAUUGUACUCAAAUUUUAAAACUAAAAGUCAUUAACUUGUUUAAGUCAAAUAAAUUGAAAGAUAAGAUAAAAAAAAUUAAGAUUUUUAACGGUUAAAUAGUUAGAUCAAAAUCGAUGAUUGUUGAGAUAAUUUCAAUAAUAUUUUUUUAAAUAAAAUUUAAGUAUUUG
Molecule: long non-coding RNA, 405 nt
Filed under: Ananas comosus (pineapple)
Lineage: Eukaryota; Viridiplantae; Streptophyta; Magnoliopsida; Poales; Bromeliaceae
Description: long non-coding RNA (ACOM_LNC001524)
Source: RNAcentral